This 253-nucleotide ribosomal RNA is filed under the name uncultured bacterium. RNAcentral describes it as "partial 16S ribosomal RNA". It matches the Rfam family "Bacterial small subunit ribosomal RNA", at positions 524 to 776 of the family's 1533-position model. The record is from RNAcentral.
UACGUAGGGCGCAAGCGUUGUCCGGAAUUAUUGGGCGUAAAGAGCUCGUAGGCGGUUUGUUGCGUCGGCUGUGAAAACCUGAGGCUCAACCUCAGGCCUGCAGUCGAUACGAGCAGACUAGAGUGUUGCAGGGGAGACUGGAAUUCCUGGUGUAGCGGUGAAAUGCGCAGAUAUCAGGAGGAACACCGGUGGCGAAGGCGGGUCUCUGGGCAACAACUGACGCUGAGGAGCGAAAGCGUGGGGAGCGAACAGG